UUGGCCAACAGAGGUGAACGUGGGCGCAGAAAACUUGCUGAUAGGUGGGAGUCGACUCUGUACACAGUAAUUUCGAAGGAUUCAAGAUGUCACACCUACCGCAUUAGAAACCCCGACAACGGACAUGAAAAAGUGGUUCAUAGAAAUUUGCUCUUGCAAGCCAGUUUCCUGCCAAUACAUGUGGAUCAUGACACAGAGCCUUCCUUCUCCAGUGUUGGUCAGGAGUCCCAAGAGAAGGAAGAGGGCGAUGGAAGUCUGUUUUUGGAGGAACUUAAACUUCACAAAUCCGAGCGCACUGCUAGCUGGGUUGCAGAGGUCACCCCAUUGGAGAACUUCUCAGAAGUAGGGCACACAGCCCUUGAUUCCCCUCCAGUUCCUCUUGCUGAUCCUGAGCCCCCCAUUGCUAAGCCACUGACAAGUGACUACAAUGGAAUAUUAAGUGUUAAGACUGGAUCAGAUGGUUGUCUUGGAGAAGCAGCAGAGGGUCCAUUCAGCGUUCCUCUGGCAGAUAAGGACAAUGGACAGAAUGACACUACUGGAGGACAACUGGACACAAGCAGCAGUCAGUCUCAAGAUCAAGUCCCUGCAAGGAAAACUAUUGUGAAAGUUGUUGACACUGACACACUGACAGUAACCGCACCCAUGGAUCAAAUUAAGACCAGAGUGGGCAGGGUAGUGAAACCAGUGAAUAGGUUGAUUCAGAACAUGACACAGAAAACUAAACAAGGAGGUUUUAUGGUUGGUGGGUUAGCUAAAACCCUGUUCAAGUAACAGAUUAUUGUUCAUUUUGGGAUAUUCCUGUUCAUUACGGACAUGAAAGCUUAUUUUGUUAUUGUCAUUCUGUGUGUCAAGAUAACAGUUAUUUGGUAAUCAAGUUGAGAAUGUGUAGACGGCACAUUCUUAUGCAAAGUGGACAUUAAAAGUCUGGCCAACUCCUUAAUGUCACUUUCUAUUGAAAUAUGGAAACCCUUGGUUGCAUAGUGAUUAUCAGAGAAAUAUAGCUACGCUUAGCUGAUGUUAUCUUGUAUGAGGCUUCUGAUCUGACUUGUAACUGUUUUGAGAAGUUCAGGGGGGAGUAUGUAGCUGAGUUAAUUUUAUUUAUUUAUUAAUUUAUUAACCUUCCCAAAACAUUUUUAUUUCUAUUUUGUCGAAUUAACAUGUCUGCUGACAUGGCUAUUUCUGUUUUGACUGCUUUUGUUUUUGGUUCCUAAUGUAAAUAUUGUUUUGGGGGAAACGUUAUUAGUGUUGCACAAAGCAAUGUUCAGUGACGUAGCUGCAGCAGCCAGGCAGAGGCUGCCUAACGGAGCUGCUGGACUGUGACAGUGAUCGUCUAUCAUACCUGGUGCUGAGUGUGUUCCACUGUCUUAUAGGUAU
Molecule: long non-coding RNA, 1374 nt
Organism: Xiphophorus couchianus (Monterrey platyfish)
Lineage: Eukaryota; Metazoa; Chordata; Actinopteri; Cyprinodontiformes; Poeciliidae
Exons: 2
Source: RefSeq, a predicted model, not a curated record